RNAcentral lists this long non-coding RNA (1351 nucleotides) under Brassica napus (rape). Its description in RNAcentral is "long non-coding RNA (BNAP_LNC018065)". Lineage: Eukaryota; Viridiplantae; Streptophyta; Magnoliopsida; Brassicales; Brassicaceae. The record is from RNAcentral.
CUAGAAUAACUCAUAAACAAGAAUAACUCAAUAAUGUCCUCGUCGCCGUUACCACACCCAAGCUCUCUGGCUCUUGUUCAUCACCUGUAACACCCUUCCGCCGUUAUCUGCAAAACUUGCUUCAGAUCUAAGUAUGGCUACUCGUGUGUGUGGGGCUCCACACUUAUCCUUGUGGCAAGAUCUGAAACUUCAACACUGCAUCCAAGCCCUUUGGUCCAUGGUCUUCACUCGUCAUUCUCUGGCUUGUUCAAGUGCUCUGAUUUCAACUGUAGAUCUGUCUUCCGAUGUGUACGACUUCUUUCUCGGCAACCAGAUAUGGAAUCACGACGCUCUGUCUCCACCUCCAAUCCAACAGCUCUUUCUUUGCCGGUCAUCUCUUCUGCUCCGGUGAAGACACGUUCCCUUCUCAGACUUGUAUCACCAGCCAUACCAUUCUGCUUCUCUGUAGACAUGAUCUGUUAGCCUCUUCGGCUCUGGACUCUCACCAGAAAAUCCGCUUGCAGCUGCACAUACCGAUGAAUGCUCAUUCUAUCGAAGCUUACUAGACUUCACUGACCAUCGGCUCGGCGUUGGCGCUGGAGUGGGAGUUUUCUGCCUGAACUCAAUGCUUACUCUCUUGGAAUCUAUUGUUAAGCCCAUCUAUCUGUCCGAUGUGAAUAUGAAAAGCUCAGAAGUACGCGUCUCUUUCUUUGGUGCAAUCUUUGGAGUUAACUCCAAAUUUCUAAGCAAAGUUCAUCAUCAACGUCCAACUCCAACAAGUGCUAGUAUCAAAUCAAGUUCAUAUUAGGUUGGAGUCUCUUAAAGCUUGAAGAUUGUAGUACCUUAGUCUUUUUUUCUUUCAAAAUGGCUAGCAAAACUUCAUCAUGCUGGAGCCAUGAGAGAUCCUUUUCCAUCUUCCUCCUCUUUGUAGGAGUGAAAAGUUCCAUCAAAAUUCCUCAUGUGAGGUACUUUUCUUUUGGCUUCAAAGCCAAGAAACUUCGUCGAUUUCCUUACCGCUUCUUGCCUUGUGUAAUGGUUCGUUUGGGACUAAAAGGUACAACGAGACUCAUCCAAAUGAGAAUCGGGGUAUCGUGACGGUGACUAUUUCCACGGUUGAAGAUUUUGAAGGACAAUGUAAUCUCUUUGUGAGUUUGCUCGUGUGUGUGGUACCUUUAGAAUCUCUUUCAACUUAUUAUCAAACUUGUCUAAGUUUGUGUCUCUAUAUCUUCAUGGCCUUGUUUAUAAAAUUUCCAUUAGACCUGCACAUCGAGUUCUUGAUGUUGCUCUUAUCUUUGUAUCAGGUUAAGCUUAUGAAUGAAAAAUUGUUGUGUUAAAAAAAAGUCUUAUACAAAUAAGUUUUACCAAGUAUCUC